UUAGAUGCUGCUGGCUCUUUUAGAUGCUUUU
RNAcentral lists this non-coding RNA (31 nucleotides) under Rattus norvegicus (Norway rat). The record is from RNAcentral. Lineage: Eukaryota; Metazoa; Chordata; Mammalia; Rodentia; Muridae.